AACGAACGCUGGCGGCAUGCCUAACACAUGCAAGUCGAACGAGACCUUCGGGUCUAGUGGCGCACGGGUGCGUAACGCGUGGGAAUCUGCCCUUGGGUUCGGAAUAACAGUUGGAAACGACUGCUAAUACCGGAUGAUGUCGUAAGUCCAAAGAUUUAUCGCCCAAGGAUGAGCCCGCGUAGGAUUAGCUAGUUGGUGAGGUAAAGGCUCACCAAGGCGACGAUCCUUAGCUGGUCUGAGAGGAUGAUCAGCCACACUGGGACUGAGACACGGCCCAGACUCCUACGGGAGGCAGCAGUGGGGAAUAUUGGACAAUGGGCGAAAGCCUGAUCCAGCAAUGCCGCGUGAGUGAUGAAGGCCUUAGGGUUGUAAAGCUCUUUUACCCGGGAUGAUAAUGACAGUACCGGGAGAAUAAGCUCCGGCUAACUCCGUG
Molecule: ribosomal RNA, 433 nt
Filed under: uncultured bacterium
Lineage: Bacteria
Description: partial 16S ribosomal RNA
Rfam family: Bacterial small subunit ribosomal RNA
Source: RNAcentral